GAAGAAUUUGGCGGCCAAUCUCCCAGACAGCACGGCCGUGUUGAAUCAGGCCGAGCCGCAGCUGGACAAAGCCAGAAAACUGCUGCAGGAAGCACAGGAUGCCAGGGAUACAGCCCUGGGAGUAAAGGCCGACGUGGACGGGUUGCUGGCAGGCUUCGGCUCGGUGGAGGACUCCCUCUCUAAACUGGAGGACAAACUGCAGAACAGCAUGGAUCUCAUAGACAACGUGAGCAACAGCCUGACUAAGGCCGAAGAGCAGCUGAUCCCAGCAGAGAAGGCUCUGGAUGAUGCAUCGGCACUCAUAAAGCCAAUGAAGCCCCAACUGGACGAGCUCAAAGAACUGCUGCAGAACGGAGACCAGCAGGCCCAGGAUGCACAGGACAACGCAGACAAAGCUGACGAUGAAGCAGCUGCUGCCAAUAAGGACUUGUUGUCUCUGGAGAAGCAGCUGGAGCUUCUUAAAGAGAAGGCUGCAGCCAGUGAAGGGACGGAGCCGCUGGGGGAUCGACUGGUGAAGCUGCAGCAGGAUGCCGGAGCGCUGGCCAACACCACUGACAACAUGAUGAAGGCUCUGGAAGGUAAAGCAGAUUCCCUCAAGGGGCUGCAGGACGAGAUCGUACUGAAGUCAAAACAGCUUGAAGGACUCGAUGCUAAGCUUAAAGACAUUUUGGGAAAACUUCGAAACAAAGCCCAGGACCUCAGUACCUGCCAGGGCUGAAAGCCCCCACGCUAGCAGCCACACCAUUCACACCUUCUAUUCUCAGAAAAUGAUGUCACUUUACUAAAGGGGACGUCCUCCCUAACUCUGGAGUAGGGCUGAACGAUUUAGGGGAAAAAAAUCUAAUUGUGAUUUUUCUGCCAGAUAUUGAGAUUACGAUUCAUUUUGCAAUUUAUUUAUUUAUUUUAAAGUAUAGCUAAUGUUCAAUAUUAAAGAUGCAGUAGGUAGGGGCGACCUCUAGCUCACCCAGUAAGAGCGUGCGCCCCAUGUAGGCUGAGUCCUCUGCUGCGGCCCGGGUUCGAGUCCGACCUGCGGCCCUUUGCUGUGUGUAAUCCCCCAUCUCUCUCCCACCUUUCCAGUCUAUCCACUGUCAAUCAAUAAAGGGAAAAGCCCCAAAAAAUAAUCUUAAAAAAAAAGAUGCAGUAGGUAAGCCUUAUAAAACUAACUUUCUGUCAUAUUUGCUGAAACUGACCCUAUGUUCGAGUAGAACUACAUGAAGCAUGUAAUUUACCACCUACAGCCUGUAGUGCGAUCUACAAAAAUCCACCGCUCCCUGUUUAGAUGCACCAAUGAGGGCCGGGGGGGUGUCUAACUGCGUGUCAAUCACUGCUCAUGCACACACAUUCAUUCUCCCUUGUGAGGGGAGGGGCUUAUGAGACUGUUUUGGGCUUUACCUGAAAGGGGGGAGAGACUGAGAAGUUGUUGAUGUUUUAUUUUUUGGCUAAGUCCUGGAUCUUCACAAUCCUACCUACGGCACCUUUAACAGAUAAAACAUGUUAUAAAGCAUUAUAACAUGAGACACCAUCAAAACUGCUCUAUAUUCUUAAGGAUGAGAACAUGGAUAUGAACUGCCAGCAGUAAGUGUUUUUCUUUUAAUAAGCAUGGAACAUUGAACAGUCAAACACAGAACAGUUAUCACAAAAGCUAAAGUUAUAAUAAUAAUAAAACAAUUCCAAUAAAAAAUAUUAGUACUUUUCUGCAAACCCAAAUUUCUGAUAUGCCUCAGUUUUAUUACAGCAUUUAAAUGUUAAAUGUUACACCAAACAUUCAACUAAAUAUUCUCAUUAGAUUCUUCAUCGGAUCGGUCUUCAUGAUUAGCAAAUGGCAUUCUUUCAAAUCGCGAUUUCAAUAUGAAAACAAUUAUCAGCCCUACUCUGGAGCACUGCUAUAACUCUUCUCUAUAACAUUGCACCUCUCCUCUGGCAGUUGUCAAAUAAUUGUGGGAAAUAUAGGAAGUCAUUAUCUAGGGUUAAAUGAGAUAGAAGAGGGACGUCAAUGACUACUCUUAGUAACACUAACCAAUCAUUAAUAAAUGGUAAAUUGACAGUUAAUUAAACUUAAGUUAUUUUACUUUUAACAAUGAAAUGAUG
Sander lucioperca (pikeperch) is the source of this 2088-nucleotide long non-coding RNA. The record is from Ensembl. Lineage: Eukaryota; Metazoa; Chordata; Actinopteri; Perciformes; Percidae.